GAUGAACGCUGGCGGCGUGCCUAAUACAUGCAAGUCGAGCGAACGGACGAGAAGCUUGCGUCCCUGAUGUUAGCGGCGGACGGGUGAGUAACACGUGGAUAACCUACCUAUAAGACUGGGAUAACUUCGGGAAACCGUAGCUAAUACCGGAUAAUAUUUUGAACCGCAUGGUUCAAAAGUGAAAGACGGUCUUGCUGUCACUUAUAGAUGGAUCCGCGCUGCAUUAGCUAGUUGGUAAGGUAACGGCUUACCAAGGCAACGAUGCAUAGCCGACCUGAGAGGGUGAUCGGCCACACUGGAACUGAGACACGGUCCAGACUCCUACGGGAGGCAGCAGUAGGGAAUCUUCCGCAAUGGGCGCAAGCCUGACGGAGCAACGCCGCGUGAGUGAUGAAGGUCUUCGGAUCGUAAAACUCUUUUAUUAGGGAAGAACAUAUGUGUAAGUAACUGUGCACAUCUUGACGGUACCUAAACAGAAAGCCCCGGCUAACUACGUG
This 497-nucleotide ribosomal RNA is filed under the name uncultured bacterium. RNAcentral's name for it is "partial 16S ribosomal RNA". It matches the Rfam family "Bacterial small subunit ribosomal RNA", at positions 28 to 507 of the family's 1533-position model. The record is from RNAcentral.